Molecule: small nucleolar RNA, 183 nt
Organism: Osmerus eperlanus (European smelt)
Lineage: Eukaryota; Metazoa; Chordata; Actinopteri; Osmeriformes; Osmeridae
Product: small nucleolar RNA SNORA23
Exons: 1
Source: RefSeq, a predicted model, not a curated record
GGUGAGCGGGGUGCGUGGUGUCAGUCCAUGUUAUGUGCUGCUUCAGAGCUGUGUUUUACAGUCUCUGUGGGCAGUACUCACUCCACACCUGUAGCCAUAAAGCGUCAGGAGUUCAUAGUACUGGCUCUGUGACGUCUCUCUGGACUCCACCCCACUGGCCAGCCUCCAUAAUCUCCGACAAAU